AUUUGUCUUGCAGGUGGUUUGGGCUGAGCAGCAGAAUUAGUGGAAGAAGGAAUGGAGGGAUGCGAUGCAUUUUCAUGGGAAUAAAGGAUGGUUAAGGUUUCAUGAGGACAGUCAUCAGACCUAUUCGUGAACACCUAGUAUUUUGAGCAGACACGGCCUCCCUCCACGGAAAACUGAAGAAAGUACAGGGGCAGUGAGACUGGCUGCGCCACGGCUGUCGCUUGCAGGAAGCUGACACACACACACACACAAGGUGCCCAGCGGGAAGAGUGUCAGCUCAGCUAACAGGGAAUGACAGUCACCAGUGCCGCCGGAUCACACAUCAAGACGCACUUCAGUGCGCGUUUCCGACUCGCUGUCUAUUAGUGCGCGUGGGAAGCAGUUCUGAUUGUCUGCACGUGAGAUGACGCCGCUCCUCAUCUUAAAGCAUACCGUACAACUGCAGUUCCUUGAUGAGG
Molecule: long non-coding RNA, 458 nt
Organism: Labeo rohita (rohu)
Lineage: Eukaryota; Metazoa; Chordata; Actinopteri; Cypriniformes; Cyprinidae
Exons: 4
Source: RefSeq, a predicted model, not a curated record